AGUGAACGCUGGCGGUAGGCCUAACACAUGCAAGUCGAACGGCAGCACAGUAAGAGCUUGCUCUUACGGGUGGCGAGUGGCGGACGGGUGAGGAAUACAUCGGAAUCUACUUUUUCGUGGGGGAUAACGUAGGGAAACUUACGCUAAUACCGCAUACGACCUACGGGUGAAAGCAGGGGAUCUUCGGACCUUGCGCGAUUGAAUGAGCCGAUGUCGGAUUAGCUAGUUGGCGGGGUAAAGGCCCACCAAGGCGACGAUCCGUAGCUGGUCUGAGAGGAUGAUCAGCCACACUGGAACUUAGACACGGUCCAGACUCCUACGGGAGGGAGCAGUGGGGAAUAUUGGACAAUGGGCGCAAGCCUGAUCCAGCCAUACCGCGUGGGUGAAGAAGGCCUUCGGGUUGUAAAGCCCUUUUGUUGGGAAAGAAAAGCAGCAGGUUAAUACCCCGCUGUUCUGACGGUACCCAAAGAAUAAGCACCGGCUAACUUCGUG
RNAcentral lists this ribosomal RNA (492 nucleotides) under uncultured bacterium. RNAcentral describes it as "partial 16S ribosomal RNA". It matches the Rfam family "Bacterial small subunit ribosomal RNA", at positions 29 to 507 of the family's 1533-position model. The record is from RNAcentral.